UACGUAGGGUGCGAGCGUUAAUCGGAAUUACUGGGCGUAAAGCGUGCGCAGGCGGUUUUGUAAGCCAGGUGUGAAAUCCCCGGGCUCAACCUGGGAAUGGCAUUUGGGACUGCAAGGCUGGAGUGCGGCAGAGGAGACUGGAAUUCCUGGUGUAGCAGUGAAAUGCGUAGAUAUCAGGAGGAACACCGAUGGCGAAGGCAGGUCUCUGGGCCAUUACUGACACUGAGAAGCGAAAGCAUGGGGAGCGAACAGG
This 253-nucleotide ribosomal RNA is filed under the name uncultured bacterium. Its description in RNAcentral is "partial 16S ribosomal RNA". It matches the Rfam family "Bacterial small subunit ribosomal RNA", at positions 524 to 776 of the family's 1533-position model. The record is from RNAcentral.